CUUCCUUGACCACACUCGUUGGUGCCACAGCUCUCCUGCAGUCCCUCUUCCCUUCUGUUGCGUUGCAGGUGUCCCGCACAGUCCCUCUUUUAUUCCCUCAUGAAGGUCAAGGAAUCCGUCUUCUGCCUUGCUGUAGCUCUCACGCAAAGCUCAAGGAUCAGCUUUUCUACUCCAUGACGAGUCGCUCGCCGUCGCUUUCCUUGUGUCCCCCGUCGUUGCCAUGGCGAGCUCGUCCAUGCCGCCUCGGCUUGCGGACAAUCCUCCUUCCUUCUCCAUGGCGUGCUCCUCCCUAUUGUCCCCAUACUUGCAUACCAUAGAGCAGGCCAUGAUGGCGGCCAGAUCCGCGCUUGCUUGUCAAGGUUCGACCGUGAAUCAUCAGUCGCCAUGGAGCUCCGAUCCCACAGUUGCCGCACCUCGACAAAAUCCCUGGAGGAUGAGCGCGUGAGGAUCCCAUAGCUGUCGCAACUCUGUUCAGAAUUCUUGAUUUUUCCCCUGUGAUUAGAGUUGAUCACCUUAAGCGGUGGACAUGGUUUAGGAGAGCAAGGUCCUCAUGGAGAGCUGGGGAGACUUGGAAGCUUCGAGAGGAGGGCAGAAGCCACACGAGGGAGGCACAAACCAACAAGGCGCGACGAGGGGGGGGGGUCUACGUGCCCUGAUGGAUUGUCCCUCCCUGGUGGCCCCACAUCCUGCAGUCUCUGGCCUAUAAAUUCACAUAUAUUUCAAAAACCCUAAAUAUCAGAGAGAAACACUUUUUCCGCCGCCGCAAGUCUUUAUUCCAAGGUGAUCCCAUCUCGAGCUCCGUUCCGACACCCUGCCGGAGGGGGGUCGAUCACGAAGAGCCUCUUCAUCAGCCUUGCUGCCCUCGUGAUGAUGAUUGAGUAGUUCACGAGAGACCUUCGAGUCCGUAGUUAGUCUCUGGAUGACUAUCUCUCUCUUUCUUUUGAUCUUUAAUACAAUAAUCAUUGCAUCUUCGCUUUGAUCUAUUCGAUGUAA
Molecule: RNA transcript, 993 nt
Organism: Hordeum vulgare subsp. vulgare (domesticated barley)
Lineage: Eukaryota; Viridiplantae; Streptophyta; Magnoliopsida; Poales; Poaceae
Exons: 4
Source: RefSeq, a predicted model, not a curated record